RNAcentral lists this ribosomal RNA (26 nucleotides) under fungal sp. WD6E. RNAcentral's name for it is "partial 25S ribosomal RNA". Lineage: Eukaryota; Fungi. The record is from RNAcentral.
CGAUCUCAAAUCAAGUAAGACUACCC